This 253-nucleotide ribosomal RNA is filed under the name uncultured bacterium. RNAcentral's name for it is "partial 16S ribosomal RNA". It matches the Rfam family "Bacterial small subunit ribosomal RNA", at positions 524 to 776 of the family's 1533-position model. The record is from RNAcentral.
UACGUAGGGUGCAAGCGUUGUCCGGAAUUAUUGGGCGUAAAGAGCUCGUAGGCGGUCUGUUACGUCGGAUGUGAAAACCCGAGGCUUAACCUCGGGCCUGCAUUCGAUACGGGCAGACUCGAGUGUGGUAGGGGAGACUGGAACUCCUGGUGUAGCGGUGAAAUGCGCAGAUAUCAGGAAGAACACCGGUGGCGAAGGCGGUUCUCUGGGCAUUACCUGACGCUGAGGAGCGAAAGUGUGGGGAGCGAACAGG